GUAGUAGUAGGAAUGUAGAUCCAAUAAUUACAUGUAGACCGUGGAAUCCUGUUGCUAUGAAGAAUGUAGAUCCGAAAAUGCCAUCUGAAAUAGAGAAUGAUGUUUCAAAAUAUUCUGAAGCUUGAAGUAAGGUAAAGUAUAAGCCUAGUAUAAUAGUGAUGAGUAGGGCUUGAUUUAUGUUAUUUCAUUUACCUUCUAUUAGGCUGUGGUGAGCUCAUGUGAUUGAAAUGCCAGAUGCUAGAAGAACUGAUGUAUUUAGUAGUGGAACUUCUAGGGGAUUUAGUGGAAUAAUUCCUGUUGGUGGUAAGCAACUUCCUAGAUCGUGUGUGGGGACUAGGCUAGAGUGGUAGAAAGCUCAGAAGUAUCCGGCGAAGAAAAAGACUUCGGAGAUAAUAAAUAAGAUUAUUCCAUAUCGAAGUCCUUUUUGUACAAUAGGGGUGUGAUGUCCUUGGUAGGUCCCUUUGCGGAUAAUAUCUCGUCAUCAUUGAAAUAUUGUUAAAAGAUUUGUUAUAAGGCCUAUAUUUAGUAGGACUGUUGAGCUAUAAUGAAAUCAUAUUACUAGACCAGAUGUUAGAAGGAGGGCUGAGAAUGCUCCUGUUAGUGGUCAUGGGCUUGGGUUUACUAUAGGGUAGGAGAUAGGAG
Molecule: non-coding RNA, 642 nt
Organism: Arvicanthis niloticus (Nile rat)
Lineage: Eukaryota; Metazoa; Chordata; Mammalia; Rodentia; Muridae
Source: RefSeq, a predicted model, not a curated record